UACGAAGGGGGCUAGCGUUGCUCGGAAUCACUGGGCGUAAAGCGCACGUAGGCGGACUCUUAAGUCGGUGGUGAAAUCCUGGAGCUCAACUCCAGAACUGCCUUCGAUACUGGGAGUCUCGAGUUGGGAGAGGUGAGUGGAACUGCGAGUGUAGAGGUGAAAUUCGUAGAUAUUCGCAAGAACACCAGUGGCGAAGGCGGCUCACUGGCCCGAUACUGACGCUGAGGUGCGAAAGCGUGGGGAGCAAACAGG
Molecule: ribosomal RNA, 252 nt
Filed under: uncultured bacterium
Lineage: Bacteria
Description: partial 16S ribosomal RNA
Rfam family: Bacterial small subunit ribosomal RNA
Source: RNAcentral